CAUGCUGCCAGGUGACAAACUCAGAGACGCUGCAUUAUCACUGUCAAGGCAGCUUUGCAGAGAGCUCUACCAUCAAGGCCGCCACAGGAACCUGGGAGGGCCAGCAGCAUGGGGAGGGCCGUGUGUACAGAAAGAAGGCUUGAAGGUGCCCUUACAAGGCCAGGGCUCCCCACAGGAUGGCAAGAGGUGUGCACAGAGAACAGACAUGGUGCAGUGGGAUGGCAUGGCGGAGUUCCCACCUGCCUAUGGCCCUGAGCGGCGGCGUGGCUGACUCAGGGAGUUUAUUUUAGUUUGCUGCUAGGUGUCAGCUCUUCUAAGACACAAGCUGUGCUGGUAAAACAAAAGGAAGCUGGGCUUGCUUGCAAAGCGACUUGAUAAUAUCAACAUGCCUAACAUCUCUCGUCUGCUCCUCCUUUGUCUGAGAGAUGGGGGAAAGGUGGGAGCAAAGCCUGUCUGUGUCACCUGCACUUGAGCAGCAUGUGAGGCCUGCAGACACUUCUCCUGUUGACUGGCCUUUGGGUGGCAGAUGCGUUCCCCGAAUCACAGCACGGCAUGGAGUGGUGAGGAGGGGCUUUGGCGAUUCCCUGUCCUCAACACACACACGUUACACCUCCGAGGGCUCACGCUACCAUACAGGUGAAGGGGAGGUGGGCAAGACUGAAGGUAUGUGAUUUACGUGUGGAAAUGUGUAUGCAUUUAGAAUACAUCUAUAUCUUUACAUUUCAGGUUAUAUAGAGCAUGCAUAGCACAUGUGUGUGUAUAUAUCUAUAUGUUGUAAUAUAUACAUUAAAUUGUGGAAUCCAGGCAGAGACUCAUUUCUGUUUGAUUCUAAACAGAAUGGUUUUCAACAGAGUGAAAUCCUUAAGAGUACAGACUCAGCCGCUUACUGUCUGUGGGACUUCUCUUUUGUUCUUGUCUCUCAGUUUCCUCAUCUCUCAAGUAGGCAAAAUGGGAUAGUUACCUGUCUAUUGUGAGGUUUGAUGUGUAGUCAGACUGUAUCAAGUUAGUGAUUGUUAGUAUUUUCCUCUCUGAGGCCCUCAGAAGAUGAACUCAAAUGUCCUCAGCUUCCAGCUUGUCUUCCAGGGCCCUUGGAGCCUCAGGAUGGGUGGGGCCUGCGUGCAGGGUCAGGCCUGGGCUCCACCUCCCUGUGGGCUGGGCCGGGUCCUCAGCCCUGGGCUCUGUUUGUGCAGCACACGGGUGGGGCACUGCGCUCUACCUGAGUUUCUGAACUGAGUUUAAAAAUUGAUAGGGGGAGGGUGGGCUUUUCUCUGGCAGUAAGACCAGAGGUGGUGGAAGAAGGAAGUGAGAGAGAAGAGAAGAGAGCAUAGGUGGUUCCACACCCCAAGGGAGGAAGCUGCUGAACGGUGUGUCGUGACUGGGCUGUGCAUCACCCUGCCUGAAAUUCCAACCUCACCUCUUCACUGACACGGUCCCAUCCACAGUCCUGCUGUGAGCAGAGGACCCAGAGCACCUCCCCACCCUCUACCCACCCCAGCCACCUGCCAAGGCAGCCCGGGCCCCCAGCACCUUUGUCCUCAGGGGCUCCUCGUGGCACGUGCUGAUGAACUAGGCUGCUCUGGAACCAAGUGUCGUUUCCGAGAGGCCUCUGCUGGGUGAGGAGGAAGAAGGGCCAUUGGAACCACAGAGGAGUGUGCUGCAGCAGGGACAGCUCUGCCUCCUUCUUUGAUCAUGAGGCUGCAGACACUCUUGGCAAAAUCUGAGCCACCUCCUAAUUGCUAAGUCCAGUGAGGCACUUUUCUCUCUUUCUGUCUCCUGCUGGCAACCUGCAGUGCUGCUGACCACGUCCAUCUUUCUUCCUGUCCUGUUCUCCUCCCACCUCCCUCCCAUUCCACCUGGCUUUGCCUCCUUUCCAAAUGUCUAGCUCUGCUACUCCAAAGUUUCCCCUAUCUCACACAGAUGCCACGUGGUCACCUCGCCUUCAGCCUGCGUGGUAGACGUGGUCCUGGCACACACUGUGAGAAGACGUGCCAUGUUUUAGAUUACUUGAGUUCGGUCCAGAGAACCAGUCAAGGAACCUCAUACCCCAGCCAAGCAGGGAUCCCGGCAGCGUGCCAGGACCUCAGCUGAGGUGCCGUGCCUGCCAGCAACAUUGGAGAUCCCUGGGGUUUCACUGUCCUCCUGACCUGGGCUCCUCGUUUGCAUUUAGCUGUGCCUAUUGAUCAUAUACAGAUGCUCAUGGAAGGAAAUGAGAAACAAACAGUCUCCAAUUCAGGUAGCAUGUACAAAGCACAAACUGCAAGGUGUUAGCAUUUCUAGGUUCUUGGAAGGGGCAGCAAGUAUACAAAAAAGAAUUUUCCAAGUGUUCACUCUGAGUUGGGCUUGAGAAAAUACGCAGUUUCACUGUUGCUUAACCAGUGCCAUGUUGUCAAAUAGAGUGAUCCCAGGAUCUUCUCCAAGGAUGUACUUUGCCAGCCCUUGGAAGCCCUGACAUUUUGCUCAACAUGCUUUUGGUUAUGUUUUUAUGAGACAGGCAACAUUCCACCCCUGUUGGUUCCAAAAUUCACAGCUCAGUAUGUUUUCCAGAAAUCAUUUUAAUAAAAGACAUGUGAAAAGUCAAACACCUCUUUAGCAUCUGUACAAUGAAAUUAAAAAACAGUUACAAAAAUACAAAGCAUCUGGUGGGAGAAUCCACUAUCAAGGGGCCAAAGGAGAAUCCACACCCAGUUCCUGGGUGAGAUAUCAGCUUCCCUGGAGGGACAGCGUGAAUGCUACCUUCCAAAACAUUUCCUUAUAAAGGGGAAGCAAAGGAUGCCAAGAAACGACACAUUUAAUUGGUUUAAUUAAAUGAGUUGAAUGCAUGUUUUCCUUCUGUCAUGGUAGCUAACUAGAGGUUUCUGGUCUGAUCACUCAACCCCACCACCCUUUACUCUUCUCAGUCUCUGGUCAGUCCUGAAAUCCUGAAAAUAAGAGUUCCUGUAUGCUGAUGGCCUCAUCUGGACGAGUUUCUAAGUCUUGGUAUUGGAUUCCUGAACUUCUGAAAAGGCCUGUGUGAAACCCUCUUGAAUACUGUGAAUGGGGCUAUAAAUAAGUGCAAACUUUAUGGUGGAAAAUGUCAUCAAAUCUGUUAAAAUAAAAUAUACUCUUUGACCAAGAUUUAUGAAUUUAUAAUACUGAUAUGUUUGGGGUCUGUAAAGAUGAACACAUGUGAGGUAUAGCACAGUCUUGUUUGCAAAAACCCAACUUUUCAUUGAGAGGGAACUCAUUCAACAAAUUGUGCUACAACAGAGCACUGGAAUCAUAUGGCAUAAUCUAUGCAAUAAUGUGCUGCCC
Molecule: long non-coding RNA, 3291 nt
Organism: Callithrix jacchus (white-tufted-ear marmoset)
Lineage: Eukaryota; Metazoa; Chordata; Mammalia; Primates; Cebidae
Source: Ensembl